This 524-nucleotide ribosomal RNA is filed under the name uncultured archaeon. RNAcentral's name for it is "bacterial SSU rRNA". It matches the Rfam family "Archaeal small subunit ribosomal RNA", at positions 333 to 861 of the family's 1478-position model. The record is from RNAcentral.
CAGCAGGCGCGAAAACUUUGCAAUGCGGGAAACCGUGACAAGGGAACUCUGAGUGCCCGUUAAAUCGGGCUGUCCAUCGGUUUAAAUAACCGGUGAAGAAAGGGCCGGGCAAGACCGGUGCCAGCCGCCGCGGUAAUACCGGCGGCUCGAGUGGUGGCCACUAUUACUGGGCUUAAAGCGUUCGUAGCUGGUUUGUUAAGUCUCUGGGGAAAUCUUCCGGCUUAACCGGAAGGCGUCUCAGGGAUACUGGCAGACUAGGGACCGGGAGAGGUGAGAGGUACUCCAGGGGUAGGAGUGAAAUCCUGUAAUCCUUGGGGGACCACCUGUGGCGAAGGCGUCUCACCAGAACGGCUCCGACAGUGAGGGACGAAAGCUGGGGGAGCAAACCGGAUUAGAUACCCGGGUAGUCCCAGCUGUAAACGAUGCGCGUUAGGUGUAUCGGUGACCACGAGUCACCGAGGUGCCGAAGAGAAAUCGUGAAACGUGCCGCCUGGGAAGUACGGUCGCAAGGCUGAAACUUAAAG